Molecule: RNA transcript, 4631 nt
Organism: Silurus meridionalis
Lineage: Eukaryota; Metazoa; Chordata; Actinopteri; Siluriformes; Siluridae
Gene name: leucine-rich repeat-containing protein 15
Exons: 8
Source: RefSeq, a predicted model, not a curated record
CCUGUUCAGUCCAUGUUGAAGCAUUGGGAUAGGAUCAGGGAGCGUCAGGGUUUACUGUAUCGAGUGAUUAGGGAUGUGGUAGAUGGGAAUGUUAUCAGCUCCUGUUGCCUUCUAGCCUGAAGAAACCAGUUCUGGAGAGUGUGCACAACUCUAUGGGCCAUCAAGGCAUUGAGCGUACCUUGCACUUGCUGAGAAGCAGAUGCUUUUGGGUGGGUAUGCACAAUGAUGUUGCCCAGUGGAUUAAAGAUUGUCAGCGUUGUGUGUUAACUAAAAUGCCGCAACCAAAGGUCCAUCCACCGAUUAAAUCAUUCUUGGCUUCUAGGCCACUGGAAGUAGUUGCUGUAGACUUCACUGUGCUGGAACCAACCUUAGAUGGACGUGAGAAUGUUCUUGUUGUCACAGAUGUCUUUACAAAAUUCACCCAGGCCUUUCCUACUCGUGACCAAAAGGCAGACACCACAGCUAAGGUAUUGCUUAAGGAAUGGUUUAUGAAGUACGGGGUCCCAGAGCGUUUGCAUUCAGACCAGGGUCGUAACCUCGAAAGCGAAGUUGUAACUGAACUCUGUAAGCUUUAUGGUGUGAAGAAGAGCCGCACCACACCUUAUCAUCCCACUGGUAACGCUCAAUGUGAGCGGUUCAACAGGACGUUGCAUGAUCUGUUACGCACUUUACCACCGGAAAAGAAGCGCCGUUGGCCAGAAUAUCUGCCAGAAUUAGUUUACGCUUACAAUGCAACACCGCAUGCAACGACAGGCUACUCCCCACAUUAUCUAUUGUUUGGUGUUAACCCUCACUUGCCAGUGGAUGCGCUGUUGGGGCGAGAGCAGACAUUUGACAAAAAGCAUGACUGGUUAGCAGUCCAUCAAAAACGUUUAAGUGAUGUGCACGCCAGGGCAAGGGAAUAUUCUGAACAGAAAGCUGCUGAGCGUAUUGAAUUGCAGAAAGACAGAAUUUAUUGUCCAAGAAUUGAAGUAGGUUCACUGGUGUACUUAAGAAACAGGCCAAUAGGUCGCAACAAAAUUCAGGAUGCUUGGGGACCAACAGUCUUUAGAGUAUUAGACAUUCUUGGAAAUACCUAUACGGUAGAGCCUCUGGAGGGAGGGCCAACAAAAAGGGUACACAGAGUUGAUGUAAGGAUGUGCGUAAAUCUUCCUGUGCCGGCACCCAGAAAAAGAUCCAAAGCUCCAAAAGUUAAGUCUGGCCUCUUCGAAGAAGGGGAGUCAGAGGAUUCAGAUGAAGACAUGGUUUUGAUGGAGAUGAGUAAUGGUAACACAGUGCUGGGACUAGGUAUUCAGUCGGUCUGCCCUCAAGGCGUUGAGUCGGUGGCUGAUGCUGACCAUGCCAGUUUAAGUGUGUCUGAUUUUGCUAGGACCUCGGAAACAGAGGAAAUGUCUGACACCACUAGUGAGACAAAGGGUCCUGUGGCUGCACCACGUAGGAGCAAGAGACCAAAUGCAGGUCAGCACUCAAAUAUGUACCAUGAGCCCAGGUCUGUGUUAUACACCGCUACUGUAACCCAAUCAACUAGUUCUACUGUGUUCCAUAAAGCCGGAAAGGAGGUUGAGAGGAACCUGGUCCUGAAGGAGUAAUCGAGGGCGCUUACUUUGGUGCAGGGGAGAAUGUAACCGGGUGGUAGUUUAAGGUGCGUUUAUUUCUUUAUGCUACAGAUUAUGCCUGCCCUGUGAGAAUAAACAUAGGGGCUCUUUAAGAGAUGCUUGGUGACAUCAUCGCGUGUGCGUGUGGCACGGUGCACCUGAGAGUGGAAAUCAGGAAGGGAUAUAGGCCUCACUUGUACUGUUUACUAGGGUGAUGUAUGUCUGCAGUAAUUUCUGCAGAUGCACAAAUUUCGAGGUGUGACGGUUAGCAUAGCGUGAGCUAACGCAUCAGCACGUGCAAGCCAUACAAGUUCUGUUGGUGUGUUCGGCCUAUCGGAGCAUAAAUAGCACUGAAGGCUAAGUUUGGAAAUUGCAGUUGUAGCUGGAGGAGAGAAAAAGACCCUGACCUGAGCCUUGUGGUGACCCUGCAUGGAGCAGAUAUGGAUUCCGUCCAUAUGACUAUCCUUCCAGUUAAGAAACACUGUGAGAUUACAGAUGUUCUGUCUCGGAAUAAAACAGCCGUGUAGCACAUUACUGCUGGGGAGACAGCACAGCUAAAUCACUGAAUGUCCUAGUGGAGCCAGUCGCAAGGCAGAAACAGAGGAGGAAAAAGGCAGUCAGAUCCAGAAAGAGUGCAUUUAAAACUUCCAAUCUUUAAGGAAUAUGAAGCGUCUUGGAGGAUUUGCAAUUCUGUGCCUAUGGAUGGUAGAGGCCUUGGAAAAUUGCCCCGAUUCUUGCAGAUGCUUCCAGAAAAAGAAUCUGGAGGCAACCGAUGUUAACUGUUAUAAACGUGGACUUCGCCAUUUUCCAUUAACGUUUCCUCUGGACUCGUGGAUCUUAAAAAUGGGUGAAAACAUAAUUCAGGAACUUCCAGCAAACAUCUUAAGCUCUCUCCCCAAACUCGAGAGUGUAAACUUGGAACGCAAUUCAAUUAAAUCUAUAAACCCCCAGGCUUUUUCUGGUGCCAGCAAACUGAUGCUUCUGAACCUGAAUGGAAACCGGAUAACCAAUCUCCCCACAAAGGGAUUCAAAGACCUUCUCAACCUCCGUUUUCUCAUGCUGGGCCAAAAUCAGAUUGCCAAUGUCAAAUCUGACAUGUUUAUUGGCAUGAGAAACCUGUCAGAUUUAGACCUGCCCAUGAACUCUCUUAGCAGCCUUCCACCUAAUGCCUUCAGACCCCUGAUCGCUCUCAAAGUAUUGGAUCUUGCCCUAAACCACAUUGAAAAAAUCUCUCCAAAAGCCUUCUCUGGCCUCGAAGAGUUGCUUUUUCUUAAUCUAGAUAACAAUCGGCUAAAGGACAUCCCGGGUGGGAUUUUCAAGACUGUUAGCAACCUGGAGAUGCUGGUGCUGGAUAAUAAUCUUCUCUCCACCCUAAGUUCGUCCAUGUUAGAGGGACUGUCAAACCUCCAGGAGCUCUAUGUGAGAAAAAACAUGAUCACAAUCCUGCCAGCUGAUGUUUUCCGCCAUACCCCCAAACUUGCCCAGGUGGCCCUAAGCGGGAAUCAGCUUCACACAAUUGAUGGGAAUAUGUUGGCCAACAUACAGGGACUAAAGCAUGUCUAUUUGCAUGACAACCCAUGGAAAUGUGACUGCGACAUCAACUCUCUGCUGCAAUACAUCAAUCAAACCCAGGGGAAUCGUGCUCCUCUGGAAAAGCUGUGGUGUGUAAGUCCAGAGGAACAUCGUGGCAAACCUAUGCACAAACUCAAAUCAGAGGGUCUUCUCUGUGACGGCUAGUUAGACUCUGUCUCAUCUGAUAUCAUGACAGUUUAAAUGCAUGAGACUUUAUGUAACUGAAAGGUAAAACUUUAUGUAAAUGACUUUGACAAAACAAUCAUAGGGGAGCUGUUGAUGCAGAUAAUCGCUAUUAUUUCCUUCUCACAUGACUCUGUUAUUUUUAGACCACCUGGAGCAGCAUAUUACUACACCAUAUGCUCACUUGUGGUAGUGCAAUUAUUUUUUAUCUUCUUUACUGAUAUGGAUUUUUUUUUUUGCUGAAGAAGUUAAUGUACUAAUUGUUAAAGAGGUCAGUUUUUUCUUAAAGUCUUAUCUAAUUUUUAUAUAUUGAUAAAUGAAUUGAUAAAAGUUAUUUUUUAUUAAAUAUAUUUUUAAGCCUAAUAAAAUAUUGUUAGAUUACUAACAUUUACAGUAUGUAAUCAUCCUGUUUAUUAGAAAAUUCACAUCAUGGAAAUAUUAAAUCAUGUACAGCAAUUUCACAAUUCUGUCAUCGCUAUGGGUGAACAUAUAAGUAGCACUGAGACUGCAGGUGCUCUUGCAAAAUUGAUGUACACUUUUUUUUUUUACAAGGAAGGGAAGCUUAGAAAAAUAAAGAAUCCCCUGUGCUUGCAAGCAAGCUAAAAACUCCCACCACCACAUGAGAAAGAAUUCCUCAUCAAAUUGUUACAGCAAAAAAAGCCCCAAUUGAAAUCGUCAUCCUACAACCAAAUUCCACCUGGUUGCUGAGGCAGCAGAUUCUGACUGUGUGAUGGGAUUUUGAGUGCUGGGGAACUUCUACAGCUUUAAACUUUUUCUGAAGACACAUCUGUGCUUUUCGCAAUAAAAAUACACCUCACAUGCCUUACAAAACAAAUGAAAUGGUUUCUAUGGAUUAAUGGUAGAAUAAAUAAUUAACAGUAAGUAAUAAAACAAUACCACAACAUUGUUACUGUGUCAACAUUUGGAACACAUGCAGUCAUAACAUACAGAAAAUAUACAAACAGAAAAAAAAGCUGUUUCAAUUCGGGGUUUUUUUGUUUGUUUUGUUAUUGUCAAGGCCCUCAUAUAACAGUUGUGUGGUCUUUACCACCCAAAUAAGGACACAACAGAUUUAAAUUUGUAGAACUUCUGUUUCAAAAAGUAAUCCAACAUUUAAAAAUGAAGGGAAGAAAUAUCUAUACAUCUUUCUACCGACACUAUAUGAUAGUAAUUAGCAUCCAAGUGUUAGGAGUGCAACUAUUUCUAUAAAAUCUAAAGUUUCAGCAGUUUAGUCUUCAAAACCAAGAUGAAAUAACAUCUGCUAUGACCUCAAAUUGCUGC